ACCGUGAUCGGCAAAUCAAUUCAUUUGCCACCCACAUAUAAAAUAAAGUUUCAAGGUUAUGAAAGAUUCUGCAUUCUCUCGCAACAGGAAUGCUGAGAAUUCUGCUACAGAGAGCUGAAGAAACAUUUCCUGCUGUGACAGAAAGGAUUAACUGUACAAAUUCAGAGAAGGUUUUAGUUGGUCCAUAUGGUGGGAUAUAUCCAGCAAGUCAUGAUGCAAACCAGGCCAUGAAUAUAAAAGCUGAGGAAGUCUCAGAUGCAGAAGAGGAAGCGGAUCCUGUGCAAAUAACAGUUCAGGAGAUAAAGGCUGAACCUGAGGGUAAUUUGAAUGAAUUUCAACCCGUACAUGGUGAGGAUCGACGAUAUUCCUGUGAUGAGUGUGGUGAAUCAUUCAGUCAGCAGCAGAUCUCUUCCUCGUGUGUCACCACACGUUGGCUGUCGCUCCAUCACCAGAACUGAUCCUGCUCCAUGGUCCUGGAAUGUGUUCCAUUUUGUGACUCUUCACCAUAUAAAUUAGUGGACAGCGCACGAAUGGAUAUGCAAGUUGCAGUUGCCCCCAGAAAAGUGUGAAGUUUCAGCCCAAAAUGAAGGAAGUGAUGGAGAUGACCCCACCCCCUUCCAACACAGGAGUCAGGAGGGGACAUGAUUGUCAUCAUGGUAAUGGAACAUGAUGGCAGUGGGAAUGCUGUAUCCAGAGAUGUUACAGAGACCCCUCUGUUGCAUGUCUUGCCCCCAGGAGGAAUUAUCAUUGCUGUUGCAAGUUUGGGAGCGUGUAUUAGUAACCAUUCUUGUUCUUCUUUAGGCAAGCAUCUUAGCAAUAAAGAUUUUAUGUUCGUUUUAUGCAGCUCUGUUAAUUUCUACCACGGUUCUCUUCAUAUUCAGUUUUUCUUUUAACAUCUGGACAAACAUUUCUCAUAAUCUUAGUCACUUUUCCACAUUUGAAUCAUUUACUGUUUGGCCACAUUAUCUGUUCUCAUACUGUAUGCUCUGCACAUUUCUUCAUUUCCAUAAAUGUUUAACAUUUUCUGAAUGCUUAUUGGUAUUUCAUCAGUUUUACUGUCAAACUGCUCUUGAUUCUCUGUAAUAAGUUUUUAUAUUCUCUUCUGGCAAAGAAACAAAACACUUCUCCAGUAAACACUACUGUUGGAAAAGAAUCUCAUUUGAAAUAGUAUUACAGUUCUUAUUAGUGACACCUCCCAUCUCUUAUCUCUGCUACUUGAAAGAAGAAAAAUGUUGUAACACCCCCUCCUAUGUGGCCAUGUCCUGUUGUCACUGUCUUCACCAGUCGCAGUCCUUGUUCUCCUUCAGUGGUGCUACUUUACACUUUGCCUCAGUAUCAUAAUGCAAAUGCUCAUUUCCUGAUGUAACAGUACAAAAUUAGAAAGUGCAGCACUGAAUGUUAGGACUGCAGUUUUCUGUAAUAUGGCACCAGACUCACAAAGUUGUGUCCCAGAAGUGUGCAGUCUUAAGAGAUGUCAAAGAGUGAAUACCUGAGCCUUUGGGACUGUUGGCUGUUCUUAGGCAGUCAGGUUUUGUGAUUUGCAAAGUUUAAUUUGUUUGUUGGCUGUGUUUGUUGUUUGCUUGCAUGGCAUACUCUCUGUUGUGCCCCAAACUUUAUGUACAAGUUGAUAUUUUUAUGUUAAUUAACACUUUGCGGACCGG
This is an RNA transcript of Cryptotermes secundus, 1661 nucleotides long. RefSeq lists it as uncharacterized. The record is from RefSeq and is a predicted model, not a curated record. The transcript is spliced from 5 exons. Lineage: Eukaryota; Metazoa; Arthropoda; Insecta; Blattodea; Kalotermitidae.